GGUUGAAACACUGGUUCUCAUACUAUCACCGAAGUUAAACAACAUUGAGCCUGGUCAGUACCUAAAUGGGUGACCGCUUGAAAUUUCCAGGUGUUGUAAG
Acanthosepion pharaonis is the source of this 100-nucleotide non-coding RNA. Lineage: Eukaryota; Metazoa; Mollusca; Cephalopoda; Sepiida; Sepiidae. The record is from the annotation of a GenBank genome assembly.